AGACUUGGGACAUAGGGUACCAAUUGUUGGCUGCUAACCUUCGCUUCAGUCGGUAGAAAAAGGGAAUUUCUCUC
RNAcentral lists this transfer RNA (74 nucleotides) under Markhamia cauda-felina. Its description in RNAcentral is "tRNA-Phe". Lineage: Eukaryota; Viridiplantae; Streptophyta; Magnoliopsida; Lamiales; Bignoniaceae. The record is from RNAcentral.